This 503-nucleotide ribosomal RNA is filed under the name uncultured bacterium. RNAcentral's name for it is "bacterial SSU rRNA". It matches the Rfam family "Bacterial small subunit ribosomal RNA", at positions 33 to 518 of the family's 1533-position model. The record is from RNAcentral.
GGACGACGCUGGCGGCGUGCCUAACACAUGCAAGUCGAGCGGGGACAUACGACGGAGUCAAAGUUUCGGAUGGAGACGAAGAUGUAUGUUCUAGCGGCGGACGGGUGAGUAACGCGUGAGCAACCUGUCCCUUACAGGGGGAUAACACAGCGAAAGUUGUACUAAUACCGCAUGAGACCACGGGAGGACAUCCUCCAGGGGUCAAAGGAGCAAUCCGGUAAGGGGUGGGCUCGCGUCCGAUUAGAUAGUUGGUGAGGUAACGGCCCACCAAGUCGACGAUCGGUAGCCGACCUGAGAGGGUGAUCGGCCACAUUGGGACUGAGACACGGCCCAAACUCCUACGGGAGGCAGCAGUGGGGAAUAUUGGGCAAAUGGGGGAAACCCUGACCCAGCAACGCCGCGUGAGGGAAGAAGGUUUUCGGAUCGUAAACCUCUGUCCUUGGUGAAGAGUAAGAGACGGUAGCCAAGGAGGAAGCCCCGGCUAACUACGUGCCAGCCGCCGC